AUGCUGGGGACCCUCUGCACUCUCAUCACUGCUCUAACAUGUGUGAGUGGUGUGACGCUGGUGACACAGAAGCCUCCUGUUGUGACAGUGAGGAAAGGAGAGACAGCCACCAUGGACUGUAACCUGGGGACUUAUACUUCCAAUUCUGCUAACUGGUACAAACAGAUUCCUGGAGGAGUUCCUCAGCAUGUUCUGAGAAAUUAUCACGGCUGGAGCUCUGUACGUUAUGGCUCUGGUUUCUCCUCUCCAAAGUUCACUUCUACUCAUCAGUCAAGAUCAGAUUAUCGUUUGAUCAUCAACAAUGUGGAGGAGGGAGACUCAGCAGUCUAUUACUGUCAAACAUGGGACAGCUCUGCUGACGAGGGAGUAUCACAGUGAUUUACACUGUGACAAAAACCUCCUCACUAAUACUUCUGCUUUUUCAGUCUCUGACACAUCUGAGCCAUCAACAAACACUGUGUGCAGUAGAUCGUGUUCACUGUGUGUUCACUACAGUAACAUUUUCCAAACAUCAAAAUCCUGCUUUUGUACAUAAAUCUAAAAAAAUAUAUCUUAAAUUGCUCUUUGCAGA
Molecule: non-coding RNA, 571 nt
Organism: Centropristis striata (black sea bass)
Lineage: Eukaryota; Metazoa; Chordata; Actinopteri; Perciformes; Serranidae
Source: the annotation of a RefSeq genome assembly